CGCCGCGUGAGGGAUGACGGCCUUCGGGUUGUAAACCUCUUUCAGUAGGGAAGAAGCGAAAGUGACGGUACCUGCAGAAGAAGCGCCGGCUAACUACGUGCCAGCAGCCGCGGUAAUACGUAGGGCGCAAGCGUUAUCCGGAAUUAUUGGGCGUAAAGAGCUCGUAGGCGGUUUGUCGCGUCUGCCGUGAAAGUCCGGGGCUCAACUCCGGAUCUGCGGUGGGUACGGGCAGACUAGAGUGAUGUAGGGGAGACUGGAAUUCCUGGUGUAGCGGUGAAAUGCGCAGAUAUCAGGAGGAACACCGAUGGCGAAGGCAGGUCUCUGGGCAUUAACUGACGCUGAGGAGCGAAAGCAUGGGGAGCGAACAGGAUUAGAUACCCUGGUAGUCCAUGCCGUAAACGUUGGGCACUAGGUGUGGGGGACAUUCCACGUUUUCCGCGCCGUAGCUAACGCAUUAAGUGCCCCGCCUGGGGAGUACGGCCGCAAGGCUAAAACUCAAAGGAAUUGACGGGGGCCCGCACAAGCGGCGGAGCAUGCGGAUUAAUUCGAUGCAACGCGAAGAACCUUACCAAGGCUUGACAUGAACCGGAAAUGCCUGGAAACAGGUGCCCCGCUUGCGGUC
Molecule: ribosomal RNA, 622 nt
Filed under: Arthrobacter sp. Se1Ps_2185
Lineage: Bacteria; Bacillati; Actinomycetota; Actinomycetes; Micrococcales; Micrococcaceae
Description: bacterial SSU rRNA
Rfam family: Bacterial small subunit ribosomal RNA
Source: RNAcentral